This 274-nucleotide ribosomal RNA is filed under the name uncultured bacterium. RNAcentral describes it as "partial 16S ribosomal RNA". It matches the Rfam family "Archaeal small subunit ribosomal RNA", at positions 473 to 747 of the family's 1478-position model. The record is from RNAcentral.
AAACCAGCACCGCAAGUGGUCAGGAUGAUUAUUGGGCCUAAAGCAUCCGUAGCCGGCUCUGUAAGUUUUCGGUUAAAUCUGUACGCUUAACGUACAGGCUGCCGGAAAUACUGCAGAGCUAGGGAGUGGGAGAGGUAGACGGUACUCGGGAGGAAGUGGUAAAAUGCUUUGAUCUCUCGAUGACCACCUGUGGCGAAGGCGGUCUACCAGAACACGUCCGACGGUGAGGGAUGAAAGCUGGGGGAGCAAACCGGAUUAGAAACCCCGGUAGUCC